This 380-nucleotide long non-coding RNA is filed under the name Androctonus crassicauda. The record is from RNAcentral. Lineage: Eukaryota; Metazoa; Arthropoda; Arachnida; Scorpiones; Buthidae.
AGAAGAUCUCUGAUACAAACGAGGCCUGCGGAGGAAGAAGUAGUAGGAGAUGAAGCGGUGCGUAUACCAGUCCCGUACCAUCUAGGAAACCUUAAGGUUAUUAAGAAAAUGUUCAAAGGAACUAGGAAACGGAUGGUGAUCAAGAGAAAUCCAACAGUGUAUAAUGUAUUGCGAAAUGAGAAAGACCCUUUAGAGCAUUCGGAGAGGAGGGGCGUCUAUAAGGUGCCUAUAUCUUACAACAACUCGGAGCGGGGGUCUGCAUAUGUUGGUGUCGCGACGCGGACGAUGGGCACUGGGAUGCGGGAGCGUGGAGGAGAUGUAUGUCGAGCGGACCUGGACACGAUGCUUGCAGUUGAAGCUUGUAGUGGUGACGUGAAUAU